AAAAUGACUCUCGGCAACGGAUAUCUCGGCUCUUGCAUCGAUGAAGAACGUAGCGAAAUGCGAUACUUGGUGUGAAUUGCAGAAUCCCGUGAACCAUCGAGUCUUUGAACGCAAGUUGCGCCCGAAGCCAUUAGGCUGAGGGCACGCCUGCCUGGGUGUCACAC
This 164-nucleotide ribosomal RNA is filed under the name Amorpha fruticosa (false indigo bush). RNAcentral describes it as "5.8S ribosomal RNA". It matches the Rfam family "5.8S ribosomal RNA". From Rfam's summary of the family: 5.8S ribosomal RNA (5.8S rRNA) is a component of the large subunit of the eukaryotic ribosome. RNAcentral also lists the same sequence under 1 other name. Lineage: Eukaryota; Viridiplantae; Streptophyta; Magnoliopsida; Fabales; Fabaceae. The record is from RNAcentral.